Molecule: non-coding RNA, 31 nt
Filed under: Homo sapiens (human)
Lineage: Eukaryota; Metazoa; Chordata; Mammalia; Primates; Hominidae
Source: RNAcentral
GUGGUGCUCUGUGGCAACGGGCUGUCGGAGU